This 72-nucleotide transfer RNA is filed under the name Camelus bactrianus (Bactrian camel). It matches the Rfam family "tRNA". Rfam says of the family: Transfer RNA (tRNA) molecules are approximately 80 nucleotides in length. The record is from Rfam by way of RNAcentral. Lineage: Eukaryota; Metazoa; Chordata; Mammalia; Artiodactyla; Camelidae. RNAcentral also lists the same sequence under 2 other names.
GAGGAUAUAGCUCAGAGGUAGGGCACAUGCUUAGCAUGCAUGAGGUCCUGGGUUCAAUCCCCAGUACCUCCA